This 745-nucleotide ribosomal RNA is filed under the name uncultured bacterium. RNAcentral describes it as "bacterial SSU rRNA". It matches the Rfam family "Bacterial small subunit ribosomal RNA", at positions 8 to 796 of the family's 1533-position model. The record is from RNAcentral.
AGAGUUUGAUCAUGGCUCAGAGCGAACGCUGGCGGCAGGCUUAACACAUGCAAGUCGAGCGGGCGUAGCAAUACGUCAGCGGCAGACGGGUGAGUAACGCGUGGGAACGUACCUUUUGGUUCGGAACAACACAGGGAAACUUGUGCUAAUACCGGAUAAGCCCUUACGGGGAAAGAUUUAUCGCCGAAAGAUCGGCCCGCGUCUGAUUAGCUAGUUGGUGAGGUAACGGCUCACCAAGGCGACGAUCAGUAGCUGGUCUGAGAGGAUGAUCAGCCACAUUGGGACUGAGACACGGCCCAAACUCCUACGGGAGGCAGCAGUGGGGGAAUAUUGGACAAUGGGCGCAAGCCUGAUCCAGCCAUGCCGCGUGAGUGAUGAAGGCCCUAGGGUUGUAAAGCUCUUUUGUGCGGGAAGAUAAUGACGGUACCGCAAGAAUAAGCCCCGGCUAACUUCGUGCCAGCAGCCGCGGUAAUACGAAGGGGGCUAGCGUUGCUCGGAAUCACUGGGCGUAAAGGGUGCGUAGGCGGGUCUUUAAGUCAGGGGUGAAAUCCUGGAGCUCAACUCCAGAACUGCCUUUGAUACUGAGGAUCUUGAGUUCGGGAGAGGUGAGUGGAACUGCGAGUGUAGAGGUGAAAUUCGUAGAUAUUCGCAAGAACACCAGUGGCGAAGGCGGCUCACUGGCCCGAUACUGACGCUGAGGCACGAAAGCGUGGGGAGCAAACAGGAUUAGAUACCCUAGUAGUCC